GGUUCGAUCAUGGCUCAGAUUGAACGCUGGCGGGAUGCUUUACACAUGCAAGUCGAACGGCAGCACGGACUUCGGUCUGGUGGCAGUGGCGAACGGGUGAGUAAUGUAUCGGAACGUGCCUAGUAGCGGGGAUAACUACGCGAAAGCGUAGCUAAUACCGCAUACGCCCUUCGAAGGAAAGCAGGGGACCUUCGGGCCUCGCACUAUUAGAGCGGCCGAUAUCGGAUUAGCUAGUUGGUGGGGUAACGGCUCACCAAGGGCGACGAUCCGUAGCUGGUUUGAGAGGACGACCAGCCACACUGGGACUGAGACACGGCCCAGACUCCUACGGGAGGCGGCAGUGGGGAAUUUUUGGACAAUGGGGAAACCCUGAUCCAGCCAUCCGCGUGUGCGAUGAAGGCCUUCGGGUUGUAAACGCGCAGCAGGGAAAAAAACGGCACGGGAUAAUACGUGCAACUGACAGUACCUGCAGAAUAAGCACCGGCUAACUACGUGCCAACAGCCGCGGUAAUACGUAAGUGCAAGCGUUAAUCGGAAUUACUGGGCGUAAAGCGUGCGCGAGCGGUUCGGAAAGAAAGAUGUGAAAUCCCAGGCUUAACUUUGGAACUGCAUUUUUAACUACCGAGCUAGAGAGUGUGUCAGAGGAGGUGGAAUUCCGCGUGUGGCAGUGAAAUGCGUAGAUAUGCGGAGGAACACCGAUGGCGAAGGCAGUCUCCUGGGAUAACAUGACGCUCAUGCACGAAAGCGUGGGAGCAAACGGGAUUAGAUACCCUGGUAGUCCACGCCCUAAACGAUAUCAACUAGCUGUUGGGGCCUUCGGGCCUUGGUAGCGCAGCUAACGCGUGAAGUUGACCGCCUGGGGAAUACCAGUCGCAAGAUUAAAACUCAAAGGAAUUGACGGGGACCCGCACAAGCGGUGGAUGAUGUGGAUUAAUUCGAUGCAACGCGAAAAACCUACCGCUUGACAUGUCUGGAAUCCCGAAGAGAUUUGGGAGUGCUCGCAAGAGAACCGGAACACAGGUGCUGCAUGGCUGUCGUCAGCUCGUGUCGUGAGAUGUUGGGUUAAGUCCCACCCAACGAGCGCAACCCUUGUCAUUAGUUGCUACGAAAGGGCACUCUAAUGAGACUGCCGGUGACAAACCGGAGGAAGGUGCAGGGAUGACGUCAUGAUCCUCGUGGCCCUUAUGGGUAGGGCUUCACACGUCAUACAAUGGUCAGGUUGAAGGGGUCGCCAACCCGCGAGAGAACCAAUCCCAGAAACCCGAUCGUAGUCCGGAUCGCAGUCUGCAACUCGACUGCGUGAAGUCGAAUCGCUAGUAAUCGCGGAUCAGCAUGUCGCGGUGAAUACGUUCCCGGGUCUUGUACACACCGCCCGUCACACCAUGGGAGUGGGUUUUACCGAAGUAGUUAGCCUAACCGUAAGGAGGGCGAUUACCACGAGUAGGAUUCAUGACUGGGGUGAAGUCAUG
Molecule: ribosomal RNA, 1469 nt
Filed under: uncultured Bordetella sp.
Lineage: Bacteria; Pseudomonadati; Pseudomonadota; Betaproteobacteria; Burkholderiales; Alcaligenaceae
Description: partial 16S-23S ribosomal RNA intergenic spacer
Rfam family: Bacterial small subunit ribosomal RNA
Source: RNAcentral